UACGAAGGGGGCUAGCGUUGCUCGGAAUCAUUGGGCGUAAAGGGCGCGUAGGCGGCCCCGUUAGUCGGGCGUGAAACCCCCGGGCUCAACCCGGGGACUGCGCUCGAUACGGCGGGGCUCGAGGGUGGAAGAGGGCCGCGGAAUUCCCAGUGUAGAGGUGAAAUUCGUAGAUAUUGGGAAGAACACCGGUGGCGAAGGCGGCGGCCUGGUCCAUUCCUGACGCUGAGGCGCGACAGCGUGGGGAGCAAACAGG
RNAcentral lists this ribosomal RNA (253 nucleotides) under uncultured bacterium. RNAcentral's name for it is "partial 16S ribosomal RNA". It matches the Rfam family "Bacterial small subunit ribosomal RNA", at positions 524 to 776 of the family's 1533-position model. The record is from RNAcentral.